This is a long non-coding RNA of Zeugodacus cucurbitae (melon fly), 1728 nucleotides long. RefSeq lists it as uncharacterized. Lineage: Eukaryota; Metazoa; Arthropoda; Insecta; Diptera; Tephritidae. The transcript has 3 exons. The record is from RefSeq and is a predicted model, not a curated record.
CAUUUAUUUUGCCACACGUACACAUGUAUAUGUGUUUGUGCUCGUAUUUCCUUCCAUUUCAUUUGAAUGUCAAGGUGUAGGCAAACAUAAACAUACAAAAGCACGUUCUAUAUUCUUCCACGGCAAAAACUGACUGAAAUUACAUUCAAUUCACGCGCCUUUUCUGUUGUGUACAGACAUAUAAAUCUAUAAUCGUUGCAAUUGAAGAAGCAGGGGGCGUUUGUUUACAACCGGCAUUGUGUGGGAAUUGCGAAUAAAAGUGUGUAAAUAAAGCGAAGGAAAUAUGGUGGCAAAUCAGCUUGAAGGUUGUACGAGUCCUUAGUCGAGUGGGUUGAGCGCCCGCUGCCACCUAGUCGUUGGAAGAGUAGCUUUUAGUAACAAACGGUCUGGGAAUAAAAAUUUCCUCCAUCCAAAACUAAAUUUGAGGGGUCUUGAAACUUGUGUAAAAUGCUAUUCAUGUAUGUUUUACUAUAUUUGAGGCUCUUUUCUCCUUGCAAAAUGUCUUGAGUUAAGUAAAGUUGCAUAACGAUUGUAGAAUGGCAAAAUAUAAAACUGUCCAUCAAUCAAGCUAAAGCUGAAACCAAACAAAUGGCAAAUUGUUUUCGAACAAAUUUCUGACAAAUAAGUCGAUGAAGUUGAUAAUAAUAAUUACUCUUUUAAACCUUAUGUUUAAUGACGUUUCCUGGCAUGAUUUAAUUAAUCUUCGUUGAGUUUUUAUUUCUAAAAUUAGCAAUUCAUCUUCUCACAAUCUUUAAUAAAUUUGUUUAACUUUUCAUACAGAAGCUUAAAGCUACUCAAGAAACCAUGACAUGACAGGCUUAUGACAAGAAAGACCGCGCUUUAUCCAGCUCUAAUCUGCCUAUAACUUCUUCGAAAACAUCUUGUAUGUAUAUUUAAUAUUCCUAUAAGUCAAAAUAAAAUCUGGUGAAAACUUUUGCUACUCAUUCUAUCAUCGGUAAUUCAAUUCCAUAAAUUAAUUCGACCCACGCUGCGUCAAGACCAUAGUGAAUUAAUUCAAAGUACUUGUAAUAUUUCAAAAACUGCUUUGUCAUUCAUUAUUUUGAUAAAAAAAGAGAAGAGAAAGAAUAGUAAUUAUUAAUUUUCAAAACUACUGUAAAGACAACAACAGACCCAUUCAUAUAUUAUAACAUGAAAUGCCAAAACAUGGAUAUGUAUUAAUGUGCUAGUAAGUAAUUGCUAAUUCACUUUGAGUCAUUUCGAUUCUUCUUUGGCAGGCUUCUUCAGUAGUUAUGGUAGUUCUGAAGCUCGUAGCUUUUUGUUUUUUUAUUGUUUUGAACACAUCUAAAGCCUCCUAAAGUGCUCGAAACAAUUAAAGUGUAGGCUUUUAUGCCUAUGUAUUUAUGUUUAUGCUAUUUUUAGCGCGUAGUAGGCAGUUUAUUGUGAUUUUUUUACUUCAAGUUUGUAGCUUCUUAUUUUCUAUUAUUCUUACAAAUUAGCUUAUAGGAUUCAUUUUUCAAUACUGAACUUAUUUUGUUGUAUUGUGCCCUCAUAUAUGUAUGUCCAAAUAUUAUAACGAAUUCAAAUUCGGCAAGUCAUUGCUUGAUGGAGGAAUUACACUAUGGGCUCCUAAUGUAGCUUAUCUCAAUUCUUUAUAAUUUUAAUCACUUUACGAAUAUUCACUGUCAUCCUCGGAGGUCAGUCUUUACCAUUUCAUGCAAAUAAACUUAACUCUAAAACUGAUUGCCAUCGAGCCAGAAUGUCGCAAUG